Molecule: ribosomal RNA, 450 nt
Filed under: Lypnea pubipennis
Lineage: Eukaryota; Metazoa; Arthropoda; Insecta; Coleoptera; Chrysomelidae
Description: partial 16S ribosomal RNA
Source: RNAcentral
UCUUUUUGUUUAAAUUUUAAAGUCAGGCCUGCCCAAUGAUGUUUUAAUGGCCGCGGUAUUUUGACCGUGCUAAGGUAGCAUAAUCAUUAGUUUUUUAAUUAAAAGCUGGAAUGAAGGGUUAGAUGAAAAAAUAACUGUCUCUAAAUAAUUUAAUUAAAAUUUUAUUUUUAAGUUAAAAAGCUUAAAUAUUUUUAAAAGACGAGAAGACCCUAUAGAGUUUAAAAAUUAAAAUUUUUUUUUUAUUUAAGAUUUGAAUUUAAUAAAUUAUUUUAUUUUUUAAUUGGGGUGAUUAAAAAAUUUAAUUAACUUUUUUUAUAUUUUAAUAUAAAUUUAUAAAUUAAUGAUCCAAUAGUUUGAUUAUAAGAGUAAAUUACCUUAGGGAUAACAGCGUAAUUUUAUUAGAAAGUUCAUAUUGAUAAUAAAGAUUGCGACCUCGAUGUUGGAUUAAAA